This 1612-nucleotide ribosomal RNA is filed under the name Staphylococcus aureus. RNAcentral describes it as "partial 23S ribosomal RNA". It matches the Rfam family "Bacterial large subunit ribosomal RNA", at positions 513 to 2129 of the family's 2925-position model. The record is from RNAcentral. Lineage: Bacteria; Bacillati; Bacillota; Bacilli; Caryophanales; Staphylococcaceae.
GGUGAAAAGCACCCCGGAAGGGGAGUGAAAUAGAACCUGAAACCGUGUGCUUACAAGUAGUCAGAGCCCGUUAAUGGGUGAUGGCGUGCCUUUUGUAGAAUGAACCGGCGAGUUACGAUUUGAUGCAAGGUUAAGCAGUAAAUGUGGAGCCGUAGCGAAAGCGAGUCUGAAUAGGGCGUUUAGUAUUUGGUCGUAGACCCGAAACCAGGUGAUCUACCCUUGGUCAGGUUGAAGUUCAGGUAACACUGAAUGGAGGACCGAACCGACUUACGUUGAAAAGUGAGCGGAUGAACUGAGGGUAGCGGAGAAAUUCCAAUCGAACCUGGAGAUAGCUGGUUCUCUCCGAAAUAGCUUUAGGGCUAGCCUCAAGUGAUGAUUAUUGGAGGUAGAGCACUGUUUGGACGAGGGGCCCCUCUCGGGUUACCGAAUUCAGACAAACUCCGAAUGCCAAUUAAUUUAACUUGGGAGUCAGAACAUGGGUGAUAAGGUCCGUGUUCGAAAGGGAAACAGCCCAGACCACCAGCUAAGGUCCCAAAAUAUAUGUUAAGUGGAAAAGGAUGUGGCGUUGCCCAGACAACUAGGAUGUUGGCUUAGAAGCAGCCAUCAUUUAAAGAGUGCGUAAUAGCUCACUAGUCGAGUGACACUGCGCCGAAAAUGUACCGGGGCUAAACAUAUUACCGAAGCUGUGGAUUGUCCUUUGGACAAUGGUAGGAGAGCGUUCUAAGGGCGUUGAAGCAUGAUCGUAAGGACAUGUGGAGCGCUUAGAAGUGAGAAUGCCGGUGUGAGUAGCGAAAGACGGGUGAGAAUCCCGUCCACCGAUUGACUAAGGUUUCCAGAGGAAGGCUCGUCCGCUCUGGGUUAGUCGGGUCCUAAGCUGAGGCCGACAGGCGUAGGCGAUGGAUAACAGGUUGAUAUUCCUGUACCACCUAUAAUCGUUUUAAUCGAUGGGGGGACGCAGUAGGAUAGGCGAAGCGUGCGAUUGGAUUGCACGUCUAAGCAGUAAGGCUGAGUAUUAGGCAAAUCCGGUACUCAUUAAGGCUGAGCUGUGAUGGGGAGAAGACAUUGUGUCUUCGAGUCGUUGAUUUCACACUGCCGAGAAAAGCCUCUAGAUAGAAAAUAGGUGCCCGUACCGCAAACCGACACAGGUAGUCAAGAUGAGAAUUCUAAGGUGAGCGAGCGAACUCUCGUUAAGGAACUCGGCAAAAUGACCCCGUAACUUCGGGAGAAGGGGUGCUCUUUAGGGUUAACGCCCAGAAGAGCCGCAGUGAAUAGGCCCAAGCGACUGUUUAUCAAAAACACAGGUCUCUGCUAAACCGUAAGGUGAUGUAUAGGGGCUGACGCCUGCCCGGUGCUGGAAGGUUAAGAGGAGUGGUUAGCUUCUGCGAAGCUACGAAUCGAAGCCCCAGUAAACGGCGGCCGUAACUAUAACGGUCCUAAGGUAGCGAAAUUCCUUGUCGGGUAAGUUCCGACCCGCACGAAAGGCGUAACGAUUUGGGCACUGUCUCAACGAGAGACUCGGUGAAAUCAUAGUACCUGUGAAGAUGCAGGUUACCCGCGACAGGACGGAAAGACCCCGUGGAGCUUUACUGUAGCCUGAUAUUGAAAUUCGGCA